Podarcis lilfordi (Lilford's wall lizard) is the source of this 78-nucleotide non-coding RNA. The record is from the annotation of a GenBank genome assembly. NCBI's taxonomy places the organism in Eukaryota, Metazoa, Chordata, Lepidosauria, Squamata, Lacertidae.
GCCUUCCUGGGAUAGCUCAGUUGGUAAAGCAUGACACUCUUAACUUCAGGGUCGUGGGUUCGAGCCCCACAUUGGGCA